AGUGGAAGGGGCAUGCAGAGGAGCAGGAGAUUCAGUUUGAAGCUGGACUUCACUUUUGCCUCUCUCUCCUGUGCUUGCCUCUUCCAUU
This 88-nucleotide microRNA precursor is filed under the name Oryza sativa (Asian cultivated rice). RNAcentral describes it as "miR528 stem-loop (osa-MIR528)". Its record names the gene osa-MIR528. It matches the Rfam family "MIR528 microRNA precursor family". Lineage: Eukaryota; Viridiplantae; Streptophyta; Magnoliopsida; Poales; Poaceae. The record is from miRBase by way of RNAcentral.